CCCUUGGGAAAUAUUCUUAGGCACUGAGAACAAUUUAUGUGUUCAAACAGGUUUACAAUGGACUGUCUUUGAGAAAAAAAUGAUGACCCCAUUCCCUCCAAGAAGUAAAUUUGUCCUUUAUCUUCUUUUCUGAAUUUCUUGAAAAAUCCAAGAAAUUCUUAUGACUGCUUUCUGUUGUCCCCAGUAAAACAGGGACCACACUGCACAUUGCUCCCCUUGUCCCCACCCUCCAUACCCUAGAGGAAUAAUGCUGUUGAAACACUGGGACUAUCUGCUGAGUGAAAAAUUUAAUAUUUCUGUGUUUCCUAAGUGCAUUACCCUUCAGGAGUAUAGAGCAGAGUCACCCACAGCCGGUUUACAUUUGUGGUAAAAUACACCCAACAUAAACGUUACCAUUCCAACGCAUGCAGUUCACUGGCGAUGAAUACAUUCACGCUGUUGGACAGCAUCACCGCCUUCCAUCUCCAGAACCUUCUCUUCCCAGGCUGAGACUGUACCCAUUAAAUGAGAACUCCUCGUUCUCCCCUCACAGCCCCUGGCAACCCCAUUCUUCUGUCCCUGUGAGUUUGAUACCAUGUGAGUGCCUCACAUGAGUGGAAUCACACAGUGUUUCCUCUUUUGUGCCUGGGUUAUUACACUUAGAGUAACAUAUGCAAAGUUCAUCCAUGUUGUAGCAUGGGUCAGAAUUUCCAUCCUUUUUAAGGCUGAAUAAUAUUCCAUUUUUUAAAAUUGUUUACUCACUCGUCCAUCCACUGCCUA
Molecule: long non-coding RNA, 759 nt
Filed under: Homo sapiens (human)
Lineage: Eukaryota; Metazoa; Chordata; Mammalia; Primates; Hominidae
Description: HSALNT0099331
Source: RNAcentral